GGGGGCGAUCAGGAUUCGACGACGGUUACGAAACCUAAGGUGCAUGUCGAGCGUGUAGUGAUGCUCGUUAAUCCAAACACUACAAACGUAUUAGUUGCUAACGAUAAUAGCUACCACGGAGCUAUGGCCGCCUAAAAACUGCCUGCUCCCGAUCACUCUGUUUUGUCUAUUGGGUGGAAAUGAUCGCAAUCGAAAAUAGAAUCGUCACACCAGUUUUCCUGUAGCUGUUGGAUUAAAACUUUCAGGAUCGCGUAGUUCACCCUGACCGUUGGGUCGUGCUGCGUUAAUUUAAAAACGGAAACUAAGCAUGUAGAGCCGAAGGCGUAGAGCUGGCGGACGCGGGUUCAAGUCCCGCCGCCUCCACCA
Molecule: transfer-messenger RNA, 366 nt
Filed under: Endozoicomonas sp.
Lineage: Bacteria; Pseudomonadati; Pseudomonadota; Gammaproteobacteria; Oceanospirillales; Endozoicomonadaceae
Rfam family: transfer-messenger RNA
About the family: Bacterial tmRNA, also known as 10Sa RNA or SsrA, is named for its dual tRNA and mRNA-like properties. Its role is to liberate the mRNA from a stalled ribosome. To accomplish this part of the tmRNA is used as a reading frame that ends in a translation stop signal.
Source: RNAcentral